GAUCAUGGCUCAGGAUGAACGCUGGCGGCGUGCCUAACACAUGCAAGUCGAGCGAUUCUCUUCGGAGAAGAGCGGCGGACGGGUGAGGUAACGCGUGGGUAACCUGCCUCAUACACAUGGAUAACAUACCGAAAGGUAUGCUAAUACAGGAUAAUAUAAGAGAUUCACAUGGAUUUCUUAUCAAAGCUCCGGCGGUAUGAGAUGGACCCGCGUCUGAUUAGCUAGUUGGUAAGGUAACGGCUUACCAAGGCGACGAUCAGUAGCCGACCUGAGAGGGUGAUCGGCCACAUUGGAACUGAGACACGGUCCAAACUCCUACGGGAGGCAGCAGUGGGGAAUAUUGCACAAUGGGCGAAAGCCUGAUGCAGCAACGCCGCGUGAGUGAUGAAGGCCUUCGGGUCGUAAAACUCUGUCCUCAAGGAAGAUAAUGACGGUACUUGAGGAGGAAGCCCCGGCUAACUACGUGCCAGCCGCCGC
RNAcentral lists this ribosomal RNA (477 nucleotides) under uncultured bacterium. RNAcentral describes it as "bacterial SSU rRNA". It matches the Rfam family "Bacterial small subunit ribosomal RNA", at positions 15 to 518 of the family's 1533-position model. The record is from RNAcentral.